This 1150-nucleotide ribosomal RNA is filed under the name uncultured bacterium. Its description in RNAcentral is "bacterial SSU rRNA". It matches the Rfam family "Bacterial small subunit ribosomal RNA", at positions 357 to 1502 of the family's 1533-position model. The record is from RNAcentral.
GGGAAUUUUGCCCAAUGGGCGCAAGCCUGAUGCAGCCAUGCCGGUGUAUGAAGAAGCCUUCGGGUUGUAAAGUACUUUCAGCAGUGAGGAAGGUGGGUAUGUUAAUAGCAUACUCAUUUGACGUUAGCUGCAGAAGAAGCACCGGCUAAUUCCGUGCCAGCAGCCGCGGUAAUACGGAGGGUGCGAGCGUUAAUCGGAAUUACUGGGCGUAAAGCGCAUGCAGGUGGUUUGUUAAGUCAGAUGUGAAAGCCCGGGGCUCAACCUCGGAAUUGCAUUUGAAACUGGCAAACUAGAGUACUGUAGAGGGGGGUAGAAUUUCAGGUGUAGCGGUGAAAUGCGUAGAGAUCUGAAGGAAUACCGGUGGCGAAGGCGGCCCCCUAGACAGAUACUGACACUCAGAUGCGAAAGCGUGGGGAGCAAACAGGAUUAGAUACCCUGGUAGUCCACGCCGUAAACGAUGUCUACUUGGAGGUUGUGGCCUUGAGCCGUGGCUUUCGGAGCUAACGCGUUAAGUAGACCGCCUGGGGAGUACGGUCGCAAGAUUAAAACUCAAAUGAAUUGACGGGGGCCCGCACAAGCGGUGGAGCAUGUGGUUUAAUUCGAUGCAACGCGAAGAACCUUACCUACUCUUGACAUCUACAGAAGCCAGCGGAGACGCAGGUGUGCCUUCGGGAACUGUAAGACAGGUGCUGCAUGGCUGUCGUCAGCUCGUGUUGUGAAAUGUUGGGUUAAGUCCCGCAACGAGCGCAACCCUUAUCCUUGUUUGCCAGCACUUCGGGUGGGAACUCCAGGGAGACUGCCGGUGAUAAACCGGAGGAAGGUGGGGACGACGUCAAGUCAUCAUGGCCCUUACGAGUAGGGCUACACACGUGCUACAAUGGCGCAUACAGAGGGCGGCCAACUUGCGAAAGUGAGCGAAUCCCAAAAAGUGCGUCGUAGUCCGGAUUGGAGUCUGCAACUCGACUCCAUGAAGUCGGAAUCGCUAGUAAUCGUGGAUCAGAAUGCCACGGUGAAUACGUUCCCGGGCCUUGUACACACCGCCCGUCACACCAUGGGAGUGGGCUGCAAAAGAAGUGGGUAGUUUAACCUUCGGGAGGACGCUCACCACUUUGUGGUUCAUGACUGGGGUGAAGUCGUAACAAGGUAACCG